This 254-nucleotide ribosomal RNA is filed under the name uncultured bacterium. RNAcentral describes it as "partial 16S ribosomal RNA". It matches the Rfam family "Bacterial small subunit ribosomal RNA", at positions 524 to 776 of the family's 1533-position model. The record is from RNAcentral.
UACGGGGGGAGCAAGCGUUGUUCGGAUUUACUGGGCGUAAAGGGCGCGUAGGCGGUCAGCACAAGUCAGUUGUGAAAUCUCCGAGCUUAACUCGGAAAGGUCAACUGAAACUGUGCGACUAGAGUGCGGAAGGGGCAACUGGAAUUCUUGGUGUAGCGGUGAAAUGCGUAGAUAUCAAGAGGAGCACCUGCGGCGAAGGCGGGUUGCUGGGCCGACACUGACGCUGAAGCGCGAAAGCUAGGGGAGCGAACGGG